UAGACUGAAGCCAAAACAGAGGCAUUUAACUGUUAAUUAAAGUAUUGUUAAAAUUUAACCUGUCUAG
This 67-nucleotide transfer RNA is filed under the name Melaenis sp. YZ-2018. RNAcentral describes it as "tRNA-Asn". The record is from RNAcentral. Lineage: Eukaryota; Metazoa; Annelida; Polychaeta; Phyllodocida; Polynoidae.